Molecule: long non-coding RNA, 319 nt
Organism: Nyctereutes procyonoides (raccoon dog)
Lineage: Eukaryota; Metazoa; Chordata; Mammalia; Carnivora; Canidae
Exons: 2
Source: RefSeq, a predicted model, not a curated record
AAGGUCACAAAGAAUCUCCUUAGAAGACAAGUAUGCCAGAAAUGGAAAUAUCACCACAGUGAGGAGUGGCCAUGAGUGGUGGUUCCCAUCAAAAAGCAUCUGUUGGAAAACCACACUGCUAAAACAUACCUUCGCAAGACCUGGAAUUCUAUCAUUAGACUCCUUCCUUCAGCUGAGCAGCCCACCCAUCACCUGGAAGGUUCUCCCCUCAGGGUCAGGUGCUAUGAGGGAAUAAAAUGUGGAACCUGCCCCCCUCAAACAGCUUUAAAUCUCAUCAAGGAGGUGAGGCUAAUACAAAUAAAAUAAAUUAAUAAAUUUA